UACGUACGGUGCAAGCGUUAAUCGGAAUUACUGGGCGUAAAGCGUGCGCAGGCGGUUUUGUAAGUCUGUCGUGAAAGCCCCGGGCUCAACCUGGGAAUUGCGAUGGAGACUGCAAGGCUUGAAUCUGGCAGAGGGGGGUAGAAUUCCACGUGUAGCAGUGAAAUGCGUAGAGAUGUGGAGGAACACCGAUGGCGAAGGCAGCCCCCUGGGUCAAGAUUGACGCUCAUGCACGAAAGCGUGGGGAGCAAACAGG
RNAcentral lists this ribosomal RNA (253 nucleotides) under uncultured bacterium. RNAcentral describes it as "partial 16S ribosomal RNA". It matches the Rfam family "Bacterial small subunit ribosomal RNA", at positions 524 to 776 of the family's 1533-position model. The record is from RNAcentral.